AACGAACGCUGGCGGCAGGCCUAACACAUGCAAGUCGAACGCCCCGCAAGGGGAGUGGCAGACGGGUGAGUAACGCGUGGGAACGUGCCCUUCGGUUCGGAAUAACUCAGGGAAACUUGAGCUAAUACCGGAUACGUCCGUAAGGAGAAAGAUUUAUCGCCGAAGGAUCGGCCCGCGUUGGAUUAGCUAGUUGGCGGGGUAAAAGCCCACCAAGGCGACGAUCCAUAGCUGGUCUGAGAGGACGAUCAGCCACACUGGGACUGAGACACGGCCCAGACUCCUACGGGAGGCAGCAGUGGGGAAUAUUGGACAAUGGGCGAAAGCCUGAUCCAGCCAUGCCGCGUGAGUGAUGAAGGCCCUAGGGUUGUAAAGCUCUUUCGCCAGGGACGAUAAUGACGGUACCUGGAUAAGAAGCCCCGGCUAACUUCGUGCCAGCAGCCGCGGUAAUACGAAGGGGGCUAGCGUUGUUCGGAAUCACUGGGCGUAAAGCGCUUGUAGGCGGACUGUUAAGUCGGGGGUGAAA
This 523-nucleotide ribosomal RNA is filed under the name uncultured bacterium. RNAcentral describes it as "bacterial SSU rRNA". It matches the Rfam family "Bacterial small subunit ribosomal RNA", at positions 28 to 599 of the family's 1533-position model. The record is from RNAcentral.